Cebus imitator (Panamanian white-faced capuchin) is the source of this 1057-nucleotide long non-coding RNA. RefSeq lists it as uncharacterized. NCBI's taxonomy places the organism in Eukaryota, Metazoa, Chordata, Mammalia, Primates, Cebidae. The record is from RefSeq and is a predicted model, not a curated record. The transcript has 4 exons.
AAAAAAAAGAUUUUAAUAUUCUGGACCCUCAGCCUCCAACAUUGGAGUGGGCCUAAUGCGAAGAUUGAGGCACUCAACAAAGGGGCCUCCAGUCCGUGCCAUCCCAGAACACUCACUGGGUCACUCCAGGCUUUGACCGCAGUGGCUGCCUCUUGUGUCUGAAGGCACCAGAAUGAAGGCUGCGUGUUGACCAGCCCCGAAGAUCUGAGCCUCUGUCCCCAGACAGGUGAUUCUGGGAUGGGCUAGGAUUGCAGGGACUUAACAAGGUGGAGUUCUCCAGAGGUUCCCUUAGCUCUGUCUCAGAGCAUCAUCAUGAUGUUAAGCUGCCUCUUUCUUCUUGCUCUUGGGUCCCUGGAAUCCUGGAUAACUGCAGGAGAACAUGUGAAAGAGGGAGAAUGCCCUCCUGAUAAGAACCUAUGCAAAGAGCUGUGCCAGGGUGAUGCAUCAUGUCUGGCUGGGCAGAAGUGCUGCACCACAGGCUGUGGUCGAAUCUGCCGAGACAUUCCUAAGGGGAGGAAAAGAGAUUGCCCUAGGGUUAUUCGGAAACAAUCCUGCUUGAAACGGUGCAUCACUGAUGAGACAUGUCCAGGUGUAAAGAAAUGCUGCACGUUUGGCUGCAGCAAGAGCUGUGUAGUCCCAAUCUCUAAACAGAAGCUGGGUAAGAAACCCUGUCCCCACAGGUUUUCUGUUUGGUCUGCUUGUUUCUUUCUCAAAUAUGCACAUAUCAACUUGUUGGUUUUACUUUGCUUUGAAUACACAAAUGUUUUCAAAGUGCCUGCUGCAUUCUGAGAACUUAAAAAAAAAGAUAUACAAAGGGUAUACAAGCCAUGAUGAUUUGUGAUAUGUGGCCUGGGCACACAGAGGAGGGUGCCAGAGGGCAGCCUUGGCUUACCAUCAUUUGUAGGCUGCUUUGAAAGCUGCUGGGUAAUUCCCAGUUCCCAUAGUUAGUUGUGAUAUUCUCUGUUAAAAUCUUAGGCUAAGAAUCUAUAGAGAUAGGAAUAAAAGGAAAGAAGAAUCUUGAUGCCUAUGGAAGGCGGCACACAUUUCCCCACUCAUU